This 440-nucleotide ribosomal RNA is filed under the name uncultured bacterium. RNAcentral's name for it is "partial 16S ribosomal RNA". It matches the Rfam family "Bacterial small subunit ribosomal RNA", at positions 338 to 795 of the family's 1533-position model. The record is from RNAcentral.
CCUACGGGUGGCAGCAGUGGGGAAUAUUGCACAAUGGGGGAAACCCUGAUGCAGCGACGCCGCGUGAGUGAAGAAGUAUUUCGGUACGUAAAGCUCUAUCAGCAGGGAAGAAAAUGACGGUACCUGACUAAGAAGCCCCGGCUAACUACGUGCCAGCAGCCGCGGUAAUACGUAGGGGGCAAGCGUUAUCCGGCUUUACUGGGUGUAAAGGGAGCGUAGACGGCAGCGCAAGUCUGGAGUGAAAUCCCAUGGCUUAACCAUGGAACUGCUUUGGAAACUGUGCAGCUAGAGUGCAGGAGAGGUAAGCGGAAGGCCUAGUGUAGCGGUGAAAUGCGUAGAUAGUAGGAGGAACACCAGUGGCGAAGGCGGCUUACUGGACUGUAACUGACGUUGAGGCUCGAAAGCGUGGGGAGCAAACAGGAUUAGAUACCCCUGUAGUC